ACAUGCUCCUGAUUUGUCUCUUCUAAUUUACUUGAUGAUAAAUACUAGAUCUUUCAGUUCCUUCUCAUAAACUGAUGAGCAGGUUUGUCUCCUAUAUUCCCUUAAUGAUAUCUUUUGGCGUCAAGCCUAAGGUGAUCGUAGCCACCAGCAUUAAUCCAAAAUUCGUCGGAGCUAGAUAUCUUUAACUUCAUCUUUAAAACAAGUUUACAGUUCCAUAGUGAUCUGUAGCUAUCUUUGUCAAUCUUCCAGGCCGCCUCUUACUGAAUGCAACUUCUGGCACUCAUUUCUAUUUUCGACAAAGACAAACGCAAGUGAGACUUUCAUCCGAUUUGGGUGUUGGUGACGUGAACUGCUCCACAAGUUCCACCAAAUAUGAAGGUGUGAAGAAAAUUGAAGUUGUGACGGUCUUUGAGCUUAACGCAUACGUGGUUAACUCGACCCCACAGGUUACCGAGUUUUGUGCACUGGAAAAAGGUGAGUUGAUUGAAACGGGCAGUGGCUGGUGCUACAUACCCUGCUCUAAUGGGAUCUCUUCCUGCAUGUAGUGACUUAACCUCUGUUGGUGUUGUCAGAUAUCGUGUGGAGCUGUGCAUUUCAGAUGGUACAGAGUCUGCAGUGUUUGUUGUUUUCUAUGCCGAAAUUUCAUGGUUGACUAAUGUGCGUGCGGCGUAAAUCAGUGAACUUAUGGGUGUUGGUGUGGGAGACUGUAGGGGCUGAGGUUCCACAAUUUCUGCAAAAUAUUAUUGGAAAAACGUUCACUUUCCAGUUGGAGCUAACUGAGUUAGCAUCAGACCUUCACUGUUUCACGUAUCUUUGACCGCAUCAGCGUCCCCUCACAGCAACAUUUGCGAUUCAUGGUGGGCACAACUAUCCUGAUGACGAUUUGCAUGGUGACGAUAUAAGUUUCCUGCAAUUGCUUAGAUGGUGACAAGACAAGUGCCACUGACCAGAACACUUGACGUAAUGACCUCCCCAUGAACCCCAGGGGUCCAUCUGCAGCAGAAGCAACAAGUGAUGAGCUCAAUUCUGGCAGGAUCAUUGCAGAUGAACAACAGCUUCCAGGAGCUGGUUGCCCACUCAAGAAGGCUCGCACAGAGUAGUUACUCAAGUGAUCUACCUUAUAGCCCUUCUAUUUCUUACAAGCUUAAGUUCACAUUAUAUUUUUUUUACAUUACAUAAUUUUCUUUCAAUUUCUAUGCUCUCAGCUAAAUCAUUAAAUAAAACAUAUUAAUGGUAACUCUAA
Brassica napus (rape) is the source of this 1243-nucleotide long non-coding RNA. RefSeq lists it as uncharacterized. The transcript is spliced from 6 exons. NCBI's taxonomy places the organism in Eukaryota, Viridiplantae, Streptophyta, Magnoliopsida, Brassicales, Brassicaceae. The record is from RefSeq and is a predicted model, not a curated record.